CGAAGAAUUCGCAAAGACGAUCGGAAUUGCCCGGCCGUCCCUAUUACCUCUGCCAAUAGCGAUGCGACAUGGCUCUUCUUUUUCCAUUGAUUAGCGAAAAUACUACGAUCGUUUUCUCUUAAAUCAGGAAUAUAUCAUUCGACUUACGACGAGAUGAAGGUGAAAUUUAACUCGCCGAGAGAAGAUAUAUACUUCAUUUUUUUUUAAUGAACUUCCAUUGCAAAACACUUUACAAAUAUUCCAUGAUAAUUGAACGACUGAUUGGCUUUUUGUUAUGGAACAAUUACUAUGUAAAGCUAACGGCGCUUUUGGAUUCUAUUAUUUCCGCAUUCGUCAAUAUGAAUUUAGGUCGUAGAUAGAGAUCUUGAACAUUUGGUCAUAAUCUUUAGAGGUGAUUGUAAGAAAGAAUAUCCAUUCCAAUGUAUAUUUCAACUUGUGAAUAUUAUUUUUUUUUAUCGUUAAU
Molecule: long non-coding RNA, 463 nt
Organism: Frieseomelitta varia
Lineage: Eukaryota; Metazoa; Arthropoda; Insecta; Hymenoptera; Apidae
Exons: 3
Source: RefSeq, a predicted model, not a curated record